RNAcentral lists this ribosomal RNA (424 nucleotides) under uncultured bacterium. RNAcentral's name for it is "bacterial SSU rRNA". It matches the Rfam family "Bacterial small subunit ribosomal RNA", at positions 358 to 774 of the family's 1533-position model. The record is from RNAcentral.
GGAAUAUUGCGCAAUGGGCGAAAGCCUGACGCAGCGACGCCGCGUGAGGGAUGAAGGUCUUCGGAUCGUAAACCUCUGUCAGAAGGGAAGAAAGCAGCGGGUGCCAAUCAGCCUGCUGUUGACGGUACCUUCAAAGGAAGCACCGGCUAACUCCGUGCCAGCAGCCGCGGUAAUACGGAGGGUGCAAGCGUUAAUCGGAAUUACUGGGCGUAAAGCGCACGUAGGCUGUUUUGUAAGUCAGGGGUGAAAGCCCACGGCUCAACCGUGGAAUUGCCCUUGAUACUGCGGGACUUGAAUUCGGGAGAGGAUGGCGGAAUUCCAGGUGUAGGAGUGAAAUCCGUAGAUAUCUGGAGGAACAUCAGUGGCGAAGGCGGCCAUCUGGAUCGAUAUUGACGCUGAGGUGCGAAAGCGUGGGGAGCAAACA